AACAUGUGGCUUGAAACUUUCCUGCGAUUACUGACCUUGAAGAUCCUCGACCCUUCCGUGAGCCUUCAUCUUUCCUGAUAAAUAAAUACCACCUCUGUCCAAUUCAACUACAGAUGAACAGAGGAAGCCCGAAGCAUUUAAUGGUGAAACAGUGCACGGUUUGAUCCGUCAACGAAAACCCCGACGACUCUGAACUCCGAAUGGCCGGAGCACACGGACUGGGCUCGCUGCCGAGUGGCUAACCAAACACAUAAACAUUGGCAGAGUAUGGUCGGGACCGUAAGCCAAAGAUGUUUUCCGACCUCAGUGAGACGAGUUGACAAAGUCUGAGGCCGACUUAAAUUAAACGAGUAUUGAAGGAAGUAGGGGCGGCAGUUGUUUGGGAGCUCGCUCCCCUAUUCAUAUUGAUUGGCACCUUGACGACGCAAGCUCCUAACCAAGGUAGCGUAAGGGGUAGUGUCUUGCAAGGCCAUCGCCUAUCCAAAGCCCUAAAGCCCGCUGAGGAUGUGUGCGUGUGUGAGGCACUACGUAACGAACUUACCCGUUGGUGGUGCCUCUCCUUACGGGAUGGUAGAAGUUCUAAACUCGGACCCAAGGUUAGUGCUUCUGUUAUAGGACUUAUGUUGUUAUGAAUGCUGGUUUGAUCAUCGAUGAUACUCAAUUGCCGUCAUGUUUUAAACUACUAAAGUUAGAUUAUUGAUGAUCUUGGUAUGAAUCAUAUGUCAAAGUGGACUCAUCCCGUACGCCGGUGAGGUAUGAUCGGACCUGUAGGGAUUAAGUAGACCUAUCCGGUUACAUCGAUGGAGAUUAUGUGGAGUCAUUUGAUAUGCCGGUGAGGUUUCAUUGGACCUAGAGGGAUUAUGUGGACCCAUCUAGGACGCUGGUAGGGUAUAUAGGUAAUCUAUUUAGGACGUCAGUAGGGUACUUUGUGAAAUCAUUUGAGUUAUGCAUUUCUAUUAAAAAAAUUUUAUGCAUUUCAUUCUUUUGGAUUAUACUUAAUUGUGUAUUCCUAAAAGUGAAAUUGUUUUACAUAAGUGCUCUUCCUCUUAUUGUUUUUAA
Long non-coding RNA from Amborella trichopoda, 1059 nucleotides. RefSeq lists it as uncharacterized. NCBI's taxonomy places the organism in Eukaryota, Viridiplantae, Streptophyta, Magnoliopsida, Amborellales, Amborellaceae. The record is from RefSeq and is a predicted model, not a curated record.